CCCCCCUCCCUUCAACAGGUUUCUUUCUUUCUCUCUUUUAUCGGUGAAUUGAUAUGAAAAAUUGAAAAUUUGGCUGCAACUUCAAUUAGCAAAACCCUCAUUCACGAAAUAACAAUGGAUUAACACCUCUUUAAAACCCCUCCAAAAAUUCCCUUAUAAUGGCUGAAACUGCAGCUUCUUCGCCUAAACCUAUCCCGUCUCCAAAUCCGAUGGACCCAUCACCACCACCUCCUCAACCGCAACCACAAUCACAACCACCGCCCACGGCUUUAACAAACUCGAACUCCAACACCACACCUCUAACACCACCACAACCACAAGUACCAACACCAACAACUACCAUGUCAAAUUUACCUCAAAAUCCACAAAUGGCAUCUGCUUCUCUUGACCCACAAAUUUCAUCGCCUCCUCUUCCCUCUCAACAGCAACAGCCAUCGAUUGUA
This 443-nucleotide unclassified non-coding RNA is filed under the name Hevea brasiliensis (rubber tree). The record is from RNAcentral. Lineage: Eukaryota; Viridiplantae; Streptophyta; Magnoliopsida; Malpighiales; Euphorbiaceae.